GGCGGCGUAGCUCAGCUGGUUAGAGCGUGGGAUUCAUAAGCCCAAGGUCCUCGGUUCGAUCCCGAGCGCCGCCA
This 74-nucleotide transfer RNA is filed under the name Planctomycetes bacterium GWF2_42_9. RNAcentral's name for it is "tRNA-Met". It matches the Rfam family "tRNA". Rfam says of the family: Transfer RNA (tRNA) molecules are approximately 80 nucleotides in length. Lineage: Bacteria; Pseudomonadati; Planctomycetota. The record is from RNAcentral.